UGAACGAUUAAGACUUCCUUCGGGAAGUGCAUAAAGUGGCGCACGGGUGAGUAACACGUAAGUAAUCUGCCCUCGAGUGGGGAAUAACGUCCGGAAACGGACGCUAAUACCGCAUAAUGCAGCGGCACCUAAUGGUGACAGUUGUUAAAGGAGCAAUCCGCUUGAGGAGGAGCUUGCGGCAGAUUAGCUAGUUGGUAAGGUAAUGGCUUACCAAGGCUACGAUCUGUAACCGGUCUAAGAGGACGGUCGGUCACACUGACACUGAAUAACGGGUCAGACUCCUACGGGAGGCAGCAGUCGGGAAUUUUGGGCAAUGGGCGAAAGCCUGACCCAGCAACGCCGCGUGAAGGAUGAAGUAUUUCGGUAUGUAAACUUCGAAAGAAUGGGAAGAAACAAAUGACGGUACCAUUUAUAAGGUCCGGCUAACUACGUGCCAGCAGCCGCGGUAAUACGUAGGGACCAAGCGUUGUUCGGAUUUACUGGGCGUAAAGGGCGCGUAGGCGGCAUAUUAAGUCAGCUGUGAAAUCUCCGAGCUUAACUCGGAACUGUCAGCUGAUACUGAUGUGCUAGAGUGCAGAAAGGGCAAUCGGAAUUCUUGGUGUAGCGGUGAAAUGCGUAGAUAUCAAGAGGAACACCUGAGGCGAAGGCGGGUUGCUAGGCUGACACUGACGCUGAGUGCGCGAAAGCCAGGGGAGCAAACGGGAUUAGAUACCCCGGUAGUCCUGGCCUUAAACGAUGAAUACUUGGUGUCUGGAGUCUUUAAAGCUCCGGGUGCCGUCGCUAACGUUUUUAGUAUUCCGCCUGGGGAGUACGCUCGCAAGAGUGAAACUCAAAGGAAUUGACGGGGACCCGCACAAGCGGUGGAGCAUGUGGUUUAAUUCGACGCACCGCGA
RNAcentral lists this ribosomal RNA (893 nucleotides) under uncultured Bacillota bacterium. RNAcentral's name for it is "bacterial SSU rRNA". It matches the Rfam family "Bacterial small subunit ribosomal RNA", at positions 63 to 964 of the family's 1533-position model. The record is from RNAcentral. Lineage: Bacteria; Bacillati; Bacillota.